CGAGACUCAGUGAAAUUGAAAUCGCUGUGAAGAUGCAGUGUACCCGCGGCUAGACGGAAAGACCCCGUGAACCUUUACUACAGCUUGGCACUGAACAUUGAACCUACAUGUGUAGGAUAGGUGGGAGGCUAUGAAGACGUGACGCCAGUUGCGUUGGAGCCGUCCUUGAAAUACCACCCUUGUAUGUUUGAUGUUCUAACUUAGACCCAUUAUCUGGGUUGAGGACAGUGCCUGGUGGGUAGUUUGACUGGGGCGGUCUCCUCCCAAAGAGUAACGGAGGAGCACGAAGGUGGGCUAAUCACGGUUGGACAUCGUGAGGUUAGUGCAAUGGCAUAAGCCCGCUUAACUGCGAGAAUGACGGUUCGAGCAGGUGCGAAAGCAGGUCAUAGUGAUCCGGUGGUUCUGUAUGGAAGGGCCAUCGCUCAACGGAUAAAAGGUACUCCGGGGAUAACAGGCUGAUACCGCCCAAGAGUUCAUAUCGACGGCGGUGUUUGGCACCUCGAUGUCGGCUCAUCACAUCCUGGGGCUGAAGUCGGUCCCAAGGGUAUGGCUGUUCGCCAUUUAAAGUGGUACGCGAGCUGGGUUUAGAACGUCGUGAGACAGUUCGGUCCCUAUCUGCCGUGGGCGU
RNAcentral lists this ribosomal RNA (628 nucleotides) under Vibrio cholerae O1 biovar El Tor. RNAcentral describes it as "bacterial LSU rRNA". It matches the Rfam family "Bacterial large subunit ribosomal RNA", at positions 2027 to 2654 of the family's 2925-position model. The record is from RNAcentral. Lineage: Bacteria; Pseudomonadati; Pseudomonadota; Gammaproteobacteria; Vibrionales; Vibrionaceae.